AGCCUUAUAUUCAAUAAUGAUAUAAAAUUGCAAAUUUUAAGGUAUAAUAAUAAUUUAUUAAGGCUU
RNAcentral lists this transfer RNA (66 nucleotides) under Pseudergolis wedah. Its description in RNAcentral is "tRNA-Cys". Lineage: Eukaryota; Metazoa; Arthropoda; Insecta; Lepidoptera; Nymphalidae. The record is from RNAcentral.